Molecule: ribosomal RNA, 421 nt
Filed under: Rhinella merianae group sp. ABGD cluster 39
Lineage: Eukaryota; Metazoa; Chordata; Amphibia; Anura; Bufonidae
Description: partial large subunit ribosomal RNA
Rfam family: Bacterial large subunit ribosomal RNA
Source: RNAcentral
CUUGAUUUGUUAUAAGAGGUCCAGCCUGCCCAGUGACCAUGUUCAACGGCCGCGGUAUCCUAACCGUGCGAAGGUAGCGUAAUCACUUGUUCUUUAAAUGUGGACUAGUAUGAACGGCAUCACGAAGGUUAUACUGUCUCCUUUUUCUAAUCAGUGAAACUAAUCUCCCCGUGAAGAAGCGUGGAUAAAAUUAUAAGACGAGAAGACCCUAUGGAGCUUUAAACAACACAGCACUUACUUGAGAACCUUGAAUGUUUCUGUAACACUAACUCUUAGAGUAAGAUGACUGCAAGUUUUUGGUUGGGGUGACCACGGAGUAUAUCAUAACCUCCAUGUUGAAAGAAUUUUUCUAAGCCAAGAACAACCUAUCUAAGCAUUAAUAAAUUAACAUCUAUUGACCCAAUAAAUUUGACCAACGAAC